UAUUCUCGUUGCCCUCGUUUUCUUCUCCGGUAAAAUUUCUUUAACCCUCGUGUAACUUUUCGAUAUUAUUUUAAUAAAAAUAUUAUAAACAUGUAAGUAAAUAAUAAAGAUUUUAUAUAUUCAUUUAUUAUACAUAUUACAUUUUAUAGUUUUUUUAAUGAAUGACGUGCAUAUAUGUAUAUGCAGUUAAAAUGGUUGAAGCUAGGCAAGUUGUUUUCCCAACUCUCGACCACGAAUCUAUAAAGGAAUCGGUUUCCGGAAACUGCACUACUUUUUCCGACGAGAUAAAAAAUUGCGUCACGAAAGAAGGAAAGGCAAAGUGCGACGCUGAUUGUUACUUUUAUUAUAAGAAUAACGAUCCGAAGCCGAGUUGUCAAGUCUCGAGUAAAUAUCCAACCGGAAGAUGCGCGUGCAAUCGACAAUAUUUGUUGAGAUAUACAUAAGAAAUUAUAUUGCAUGUACGCGUUCCGAAAU
This 474-nucleotide long non-coding RNA is filed under the name Erythranthe guttata (spotted monkey flower). RNAcentral describes it as "long non-coding RNA (EGUT_LNC003196)". Lineage: Eukaryota; Viridiplantae; Streptophyta; Magnoliopsida; Lamiales; Phrymaceae. The record is from RNAcentral.